AAAAAAUGUAGAGCAAUAUGAAAACAGUAUGAACAAAGAAACUAAAUUGUCACAGAUUAUAAAUUGAAUAAUUUUUUUCAUUUAACAAAUAGAAAAUCAAAUUUACUUUUUUCCUUUUCUCAACAGACAUGUAUAAACCAAAAUGAAUAUGGGAAAAUUCCAAGACAUAAUAUGACAAUAACUAUGAAGGUAGUACUAUAUAAUUCCAACCAGAACAAGUCUAAGGUAUGCAUUUGCCAUCACCAAAAACAGAGACCUCAGAUCAACACCAGGGCCGUAAAGACAACACAUCAUGAAAAUGCAGGAACAUCUUAUAAAAGCACAAACC
RNAcentral lists this long non-coding RNA (328 nucleotides) under Fukomys damarensis (Damara mole-rat). Its description in RNAcentral is "lncRNA (ENSFDAG00000022531.1)". The record is from RNAcentral. Lineage: Eukaryota; Metazoa; Chordata; Mammalia; Rodentia; Bathyergidae.